RNAcentral lists this ribosomal RNA (759 nucleotides) under uncultured Prevotella sp. RNAcentral describes it as "bacterial SSU rRNA". It matches the Rfam family "Bacterial small subunit ribosomal RNA", at positions 28 to 776 of the family's 1533-position model. Lineage: Bacteria; Pseudomonadati; Bacteroidota; Bacteroidia; Bacteroidales; Prevotellaceae. The record is from RNAcentral.
GAUGAACGCUAGCUACAGGCUUAACACAUGCAAGUCGAGGGGAAACGACAUUGAAGCUUGCUUCGAUGGGCGUCGACCGGCGCACGGGUGAGUAACGCGUAUCCAACCUGCCUCUGACUAAGGGAUAACCCGGCGAAAGUCGGUCUAAUACCUUAUGAGGUUUUCUGCAGACAUCUAACGAAAACGAAAGAUUUAUCGGUCAGUGAUGGGGAUGCGUCUGAUUAGCUUGUUGGCGGGGUAACGGCCCACCAAGGCAACGAUCAGUAGGGGUUCUGAGAGGAAGGUCCCCCACAUUGGAACUGAGACACGGUCCAAACUCCUACGGGAGGCAGCAGUGAGGAAUAUUGGUCAAUGGGCGAGAGCCUGAACCAGCCAAGUAGCGUGCAGGAUGACGGCCCUAUGGGUUGUAAACUGCUUUUAUGUGGGGAUAAAGUGAGCUACGUGUAGUUUAUUGCAGGUACCACAUGAAUAAGGACCGGCUAAUUCCGUGCCAGCAGCCGCGGUAAUACGGAAGGUCCAGGCGUUAUCCGGAUUUAUUGGGUUUAAAGGGAGCGUAGGCUGGAGAUUAAGUGUGUUGUGAAAUGUAGACGCUCAACGUCUGAAUUGCAGCGCAUACUGGUUUCCUUGAGUACGCACAACGUUGGCGGAAUUCGUCGUGUAGCGGUGAAAUGCUUAGAUAUGACGAAGAACUCCGAUUGCGAAGGCAGCUGACGGGAGCGCAACUGACGCUUAAGCUCGAAGGUGCGGGUAUCAAACAGG